This 207-nucleotide ribosomal RNA is filed under the name uncultured bacterium. Its description in RNAcentral is "partial 16S ribosomal RNA". It matches the Rfam family "Bacterial small subunit ribosomal RNA", at positions 568 to 774 of the family's 1533-position model. The record is from RNAcentral. RNAcentral also lists the same sequence under 1 other name.
UGCGCAGGCGGUUUUGUAAGACAGAGGUGAAAUCCCCGGGCUCAACCUGGGAACUGCCUUUGUGACUGCAAGGCUAGAGUGCGGCAGAGGGGGAUGGAAUUCCGCGUGUAGCAGUGAAAUGCGUAGAUAUGCGGAGGAACACCGAUGGCGAAGGCAAUCCCCUGGGCCUGCACUGACGCUCAUGCACGAAAGCGUGGGGAGCAAACA